AGAUGACCAGUGAUAAAGUAUGGUAAACGCACCACUUAACAGAGACGAUUUCAGAGCUGAAAGAAAUUGGCGGUGUCCACCUGACUGCUUUUGAGGUCUGCGUGUCUAACACGCCGUUGGCUAACAACGUUAUGCUUAAGCAAAAAUUAAGGUGGUACCGUGCAUUCAAGCACCCUUGUU
Molecule: unclassified non-coding RNA, 180 nt
Filed under: Latilactobacillus sakei
Lineage: Bacteria; Bacillati; Bacillota; Bacilli; Lactobacillales; Lactobacillaceae
Description: Lactobacillus sakei T-box
Source: RNAcentral